Molecule: long non-coding RNA, 402 nt
Organism: Mauremys mutica (yellowpond turtle)
Lineage: Eukaryota; Metazoa; Chordata; Testudines; Geoemydidae
Exons: 3
Source: RefSeq, a predicted model, not a curated record
CACAACAGUGACUGACUCUCCAACCUGCCUGUUCCCACUCCCUGGAGGAAUAUGGGUGCAACAUCCUCUCUGAGUUCCUGUCCAGGCAAGUUACAAGAAGCACACAAGAAAGCAACCCCUUCUGAAAGAAGACCAGACUUGAUUGCUGCUUUUCAUCAUUUCCCUUCCAGAUUGGUUACAUUUCUAAAGCUUUUAUCUUCAGAGACCCAGAGAACCGAGCUGGAGAACCGAAAAUGAGUCUAUUAUACAGGACCAACACGGCAAGUCUUCACUAAACAUCUGCUCAUCUGGUGUUGUUUACUUGUGCAAAUUUGCCUGAAUUAAUUGCAGUGCCGCUCAUGGCACUAAAAUUAACCGUCUGCUAGCAUUUCCAUUGUAAGCAUUUAGUUUCAGAAGUCUAUA